Long non-coding RNA from Bos taurus (domestic cattle), 5527 nucleotides. Lineage: Eukaryota; Metazoa; Chordata; Mammalia; Artiodactyla; Bovidae. The record is from Ensembl.
GUUUCCGACAAUAAGCAAGAGUGACUUUUAUAGUCAAAGUGUUUCCUUUGAAGUAUCACUUGGAUUGCAUGUUUAUUGGAGGGUCUGCCACACCUAUAGACUACACGCUCCUUCCUACCACAUUCCACACCUCCCGAAGUCCCAGAGCCUGGACGGAACCCAAGUGGUGGCUGGACAUUUGUUAGCAAGGCUCUUAGCUUUCAUUUAUUUAUUUUUGGCUCUUAGCUUUUAAUUGGCCAUAGUCUUUCUCUCUACCUGACCGAGACACACCUUGGUCUUCAGAUCAAAUGUUUGGGCUGUGUAGCCACUUUCUACCAUAAACAAGGCUACUGCUCGUUUUCAGGCUCCAGAAUUUGUUUCUUAGGUCGAGAAGUGUCAAGACAAGGGUGAGGAAAUCUGCUUGCUUUCUGAGGGAUGCCAGCCCCAGGAAUUGCGGCAGAGAUUCCAGGAGAGGCAUCCGUAACUUGUGUGUGUCUAUGUGUGCUCAGUCGUGUCCGACUCUCUGCAACCCCAUGGACUGUAGUCCUCCAGGGAUCGCAAAGAGUUAGAUGUGACUGAGCACGCACAAAAGGAUGCAAAAGACCUUGGGAAAACAGCUCUCAUUGUAUUUUACCUUACUCAUCUGGCAAAUGUCAGAACUGACUACAACACCUGAAAAUCCCUUCAAGUUCUAGCAUUACAUAUUUUUUUUGCAUUUCUUUUUAAUGCUAUUAUUUUUAAUUAAUUCCUAGCUUUUAAAAAAAAUAAUCGAUUUUUAUUUUUGGUUGCGCUGGGUGUUCGUUGCUGCACACAAGCUUUCUCUAGUUGCUGAGAGCAAGGGCUGCUCUUUGUUGCAGAGCUCGAGCUUCUCACUGCAGUGGCUUGUUGCUGAGCAUGGGCUUUAGGCGCACGGGCUCAGUAGUUGUGGCACACCAGCUUAGUUGCUUCCAGGCACAUGGAAUCUUCCUGGACCAGGGAUCAAACCCGUGCCCCCUGCAUUGGCAGGCGGGUUCCUAUCCACUGUGUCACUAGAGAAGUCUCAUUUCUUUUAAAUUUAAAAGCUGUAUGACCUCAAGCAAGUAAUGAAAACUCCCUGAUAUUCAUAAUAACAUAGCAUAUUUCAUGCUUAAAUAGCUUUUUAUGAUACUAUCACAUAUCUUGUUAAAUCUUAGUGGGUCAGUGACAGAGCCACGGAGAAACUGAGGCUCAGUGAGGUUGAAAGAAAUCUAGCCCAGACCACAACUACACCAAAGCGGUGGCAGAGGAACCAAAGCCAGGUUCUGGCCCUGCUCUCUCAUCUCUCUCUGUCCUUCCUAUCCACCGGGUUUUCACCAGCCCAGGGAAGGCAAACCAACCAUGGAGAGUAUUAUAAAUGGGUGUCCUCAAAGCUCUAAACCUCUUGAGAUCUCUAUCUGUAUGGUGGCUCUUCUCAAGAUAAAGUGCCCAACUGUUUUCCAGAGUGGUUAUGCCAUUUUACAUUUCCAUCAACGGUGUAUGAGAUGAGAGCUCCGGCUCCUCCACAUCCUCCGCAACACUUAUUACUGUCCGUGUAAUUUUGGACAUUCUCAUAGGUACAUAGUGGUUAUCUCAUGGUAAUAACCAGUGACGUUAAGCCUCCUUCCAAUGUGCUUACUGGCCAUCGAUAUAGCUUCUUUGGCGAAGUAUCUCUUCAAAUCUUUCACUUAUUUUUAGAUUGGGUGAUUUUCUUACGAGUUCCUUAUAUAUUCAGGACACAAGUCCUUUGUUAGAUAAAUGAUUUGCAAAUUUUACCCAGUCUGUAUCUUGUCUUUUUGUUCUCUUUAUCAGGACUUUUGAAGAACAGUUCUCAGUUUUGAUGGUCCAAUUUAUCCUUUUUUUUCUUCUUUGAACUACGCUUUUAGUAUUAUAUCUAAUACCUCUUUGCUUAACUCAUGGUCACAAAGAUUUCCGACCAAUGUUUUCUUCUAACAAUUUUAUAGUUUUACAUUUAGGCCCUUGAUUCAUUUUUUAUUGUGGUAAAAUAUAUGUAACAUGAAGUUUACCGUAUAAAAAGACAGUAUUUUUAUGAGGUGUUAUGGGUUUCCUGUGCUUUUUAUGGCUAUGCUGAACAGCUUGUGGGAUCCUACGUUCCCAGACCAGGAACUGAACCUGGGCCCUCAGCAGUAGAGCGGAGAGUUCCAACCAACGGGCCACCAGGGAAUUCCCAUUAAGAGCAACUUUAGGUUCACAGCCAAAUUGGGCAGAAGGUACAGAAAUUUCCAAUAUACCGCUUGCUCCCACUCAUGUACAGCCUCCCUAUCAGCGUCCCCUCACCCUCUGUACAUUUCUUAAAAUUGAUGAACCUACGGUGAUACGUCAUAACCCAAUGCACAUCAUUUACAUCAGGGUUCAUUCUUGAUGUUACAUGUUCUGUGGGUUUGGAGGAAUGUUUAAUGACAUGUAUUCAUCAUUAUAGUGUCACACAGAAUAGUUUCACUGCCCUAAAAAUUCUUUGUGCUCCAUCUAUUCAUUCUUCCGUCUCCCCCAAUCCCUGGAAACCACUGAUCUUUUUAGUUACCAUAACUGUGCCUUUUACAGAAUGUCACACAGUUGGAAUCAUACAAUAUGUAAAAACUUUCCUUCUUAGGAAUGUAUUUCGUUUCCUCCACAUCUUCUCAUGGCUUGAAAGUUGAUUUCUUUCUAGUGCCGGAAAAAACUCGUCUGGAUGUACCACCGUUUAUUUAUACAUUCACUUGCUGAAGGACAUUUUGGUUGCUUCCAAGUUUUGGCAAUUAUGAAUAAAACUGCUAUAAAUACGCAGGGGCCGGUUUUUGUGUAGAGGCAAGUUUUCAGCUCCUUUGGUAAAUACCAAGGAGCACGAUUGGUGGAUGGUAUGUAAGAACAUGUUUUGUUUUGUACAUAAUUGCCAAAAUUAUCUUCCAAAGUGGCUGUGCUAUUUUGCUUUCCCGCCAACAAUGAAUCCGAUUUCCUGUUGCUCUACAUCUUUGCCAGCAUUUGGUGUUGUCAGUGUUCUGCAACUUGGUCGUUUCAAUAGGUGUACACAGGAUGGUACUUUUUAACCAUCAUUAAGUACACAAUUCAGUGGCAUUAAAUACAUUGACAAUGUUAUGUAACCAUCACUAUGAUCUACUUCCAAAACUUUUUCUUUCAUCACCCAAACAGAAACUCUCUAGCCAUUAGCAGUAACUCCGUUUCCCCUGCCUCAGCCUCUCUAAACCUCUAUUUUCGGCCCCUAUGAAGUUGUCCAUUCUUGAUUCCUCAUGUAAGAGGACUAAGAGAAUUAUCUGUCCUUUGUGUCUGGCUUUUCCCUUAGCGUAUUUUCAAGGUUCAUCCAUACACAUUUUGUUUAUCCGUAUCUUUUAGCUAUUGUGAACAAUGCUGAAGCAACACUGGUGUGCAGGUGCCACUUAAGUUUGGUAUUUCCAGUUCUUUGGGGGUAUACACUGGGAGUGCAACUGCUAGGUCACACGGUAACCAUUUAGCUUUUGGAGGAACCACCAGUCUUCCGCAGUUGCCUAGUUUACAUUGCAACUAUUACAGAGACAUAGAAGAGUUCCAAUUUCCUCACACCCUCACCAACACUCAUCUUAUGUGAGACGGCAGCCAUCCUAAUGGGUGUGAAGGUGUAUCUUGAUGUGGUUUUGACUUGCGUUUCCCUGAAGUUUUAAUAAUAAUGUUGAGCAUCUUUUCACGUGCUUAUUGGCCAUAUGUUUACCUUAUUUGGAGAAGUAUCUUCAAGUCCUCACUUAAAAAUCUUUUUGUUGUUCUUUAAGAGUUCUUUAUGUAUUCUAAACAGUAUCUCAUCAGAUAUAUAAUUUGCAGGUAAUUCCCAUUUCUGUGGGUGGCCUUUUCACUGUGGACUGUAGUGUCCUUCAAUGCACAUACAACUUGUGUUAACUAUGUACUCUGUGAUUUUGCUGAAUUCAUUUGAUCAAGUAGUUUUCUUGUGGAUUCUUUGGAAUUUUUUCUAUAUAGGAUCACCUCAUCGGUGAAUAUUUCACUUUUUCCUUUCCAAUUUGGAUGUCUCUUUCCUGUCUAGUUGGUUUGGCUCAACCUUCUAGUACAAUGUUCAAUAGCAAUGGUGAUAGUAGGUGUCCUUGUUCCUGAUCUUGGGGGAAAAACUUUCAGUCUUUAACCAGAGGAUAUUGGCUGUCAGUUCUUCAUAAAUACCCUUUGUCAGGUAAAGGACAUUCCCUUCCAUUCCUAGGUUUCUAGUAUUUUAUCACAAAAGGGCAUUGCUUUGUCAAAUGCCUUUUCUGCAUCAUCUGAACUGCUCAUAUGAGUUUUUCUUUGUCCUAUUAAUGUGGUACAUUGUCUGAUUUUCUUACGCUGAAUCAUGCUUGCAUUUCUGCAAUAAGCCCUUUUGAUCGUGUAUAAUCCUUCUAACAUGCUGUUGGAUUUAGUUUGCUUGUAUUUUGUUGCUAAAAAAUGUCUCUCUCUCCAUCCACUUAAAGUGUGUUUAUAUUCAUUUCAUGCAGUACUAAUAGCUGGCAUCUGUCAAUGGACUUUUCCCUUGAGAACUGGUUACAUGGUUAAUUCUGGAUGGUCUCCUGGACAUUUUGAUUACGUUGUGUGACUCUAGAUUCUGUCUAAAUCCAAGGAAUAUUUUUGUUUUAGCAGGCAAUUUAAUGUCAGAAAGAUAGGGUUCCUUAGACCUUUUAGCUGCCUAUGCCACCAAAACAGCUCUAGCUCUACGAUGGGGCCAUACUUGGGCCGCAACAGGAGAAACAGAACAGUGAUUCCCCUUCUUCGGUCUAGCGUCCCCCUUUCCUGGUUCCUCUGCCCAGAAGGUAACAGUUUUAGCUGUCAGAGCUAAACUGCUGCAGCCUUGCAACUUUGCCUGCUCUUAAGGACGAGGAAAGGAAAAAAGAAGUGGGAUUUUCUAUUAUGUUCUCCAGCUCACAGGGUCCCUUUUUCUGGUCCUCUGGUCAAAGCUAAGCUGGGUUCUUUUAGGGGUUUUGCAGCCAUGUGUCAGAGGUGAAAGUCAUGAAAAGGAAAAAUGCCAGCAAACUCAGCCCUGUAGGGACUAUGUAAGUUUUGACUCCCCCUCCUAAUCUGCUUUUAUUUUUCAGAAUCCUCAGGUUAACUUUUGGUAUUUUUGCCAAUUUUUGGUUAUAAUCAAUUAGAGACAGGCUGUAGUGGAUUUAAAUCUUGACCAGCAGGGACUUCCCUGGUGGUCCAGCGGUUAAGACUCUGUGCUUCCAAUGCAAGGGACUCGGGUUAAAUCCUUGGUCGGGGAGCUUAAGAUCCCACAUGCCACUGAACUUUUUUUGGUGUGCCCCACCCUUCCACCCUGCCAAAAAAAAAAAUCUUGACCAGCACCAGAAGCUGGGAAGCAUCUAUAGAGAACUCAUGAGUUUGUGCUUUAUACACAAUUUCACAAGAGCCAUUAUUGUUUUCCAUCUAAACUUGCUCAAACCAAUGCUAGAAAGUUACAUCAGAGAACAGUGUGAACUGGAGCUUGCUUUCACAAAAAUGUCUGUCUCAAAUUCAUAAUAGGAAAAUUUAUGAAUCAGCUUAACUUUCACAAAAACUGCUUCAUUAUUAUUUCAUCCAGAUUUGUUUGAAU